This 442-nucleotide ribosomal RNA is filed under the name uncultured bacterium. RNAcentral's name for it is "partial 16S ribosomal RNA". It matches the Rfam family "Bacterial small subunit ribosomal RNA", at positions 338 to 795 of the family's 1533-position model. The record is from RNAcentral.
UCUACGGGUGGCUGCAGUGGGGCAUAUUGGGCAAUGGGCGCAAGCCUGACCCAGCAACGCCGCGUGAAGGAAGAAGGCUUUCGGGUUGUAAACUUCUUUCAAGAGGGAAGAGCAGAAGACGGUACCUCAUGAAUAAGCCACGGCUAACUACGUGCCAGCCGCCGAGGUAAUACGUGGGUGGCAAGCGUUGUCCGGAUUUACGUGGUGUAAAGGGCGGGCAGGCGGGAAGUCAAGUCCGAUGUGAAAUCCCCGGGCUCAACCGCGGAACUGCAUUUGAAACUGUUUGUCUUGAGUGCCGGAGAGGUUGGCGGAAGUCCGUGUGUAGCAGUGAAAUGCGUAGAUAUAAGGAAGAACACCAGUGGCGAAGGCGGCUGACUGGACGGCAACUGACGGUGAGGCGCGAAAGCGUGGGGAGCAAACAGGAUUAGAUACCCCAGUAGUC